This 775-nucleotide ribosomal RNA is filed under the name uncultured Neocallimastigales. RNAcentral's name for it is "partial large subunit ribosomal RNA". It matches the Rfam family "Eukaryotic large subunit ribosomal RNA", at positions 26 to 629 of the family's 3401-position model. Lineage: Eukaryota; Fungi; Neocallimastigomycota; Neocallimastigomycetes; Neocallimastigales. The record is from RNAcentral.
CGCAUCUGUGCAUGCAGCAUAUCAAUAAGCGGAGGAAAAGAAACUAACAAGGAUUCCCCUAGUAACGGCGAGUGAAGCGGGAAGAGCUCAAAUUUGAAAUCUUAAAGGGUUUCCCUUUACGAAUUGUAGUUUAAAGAAGUGUUUUCUGUUGAGGUUUUGGUAAAAGUUCUUUGGAAUAGGACAUCAUAGAGGGUGAGAAUCCCGUAUUUGACCUUUACUUUCAACUUUGUGAUACACUUUCAAAGAGUCGGAUUGUUUGGGAAUGCAGUCCAAAAUGGGUGGUAAAUUUCAUCUAAAGCUAAAUAUUGGCGAGAGACCGAUAGCGAACAAGUACCGUGAGGGAAAGAUGAAAAGAACUUUGAAAAGAGAGUUAAACAGUACGUGAAAUUGUCAAAAGGGAAGCGUUUGACACCAGUGUUGUUUUUCUGAAAAUCAAUUAAAGAACUGUUUAUGCUAAGCUGUUUAGACUUUAUCAGCUAAUCUGUUUAGUUUUGAGCUUUUCUUUAAUGCACUUUUCAGUUAACAAGUCAACAUCAAUUUCUUUUGCUGUAAAAAAGCUUGAGGAAGGUGGCUUGAGAUUCGUCUUAAGUGUUUAUAGCCUCUUGCCUAUGCAGUCGGAGAGAUUGAGGUCUGCAGCGUAGAUCCUUCGGGGCUAAAUGCAUUUGUGCUAAGUUAUAGCAUUUUAUAGACAACUUGUUGACUAUGAUUUGUCUUGUAGCUUACUCGCUUAUGUUAUUUUACCUACGCUUAGGAUGUUGACAGCAGUAUAGACUGU